UUCGGUGGGGAUUAGUGGCGAACGGGUGAGUAACMCGUGGGCAAUCUGCCCUUCACUCUGGGACAAGCCCUGGAAACGGGGUCUAAUACCGGAUACCACUACCGCAGGCAUCUGUGGUGGUUGAAAGCUCCGGCGGUGAAGGAUGAGCCCGCGGCCUAUCAGCUUGUUGGUGAGGUAAUGGCUCACCAAGGCGACGACGGGUAGCCGGCCUGAGAGGGCGACCGGCCACACUGGGACUGAGACACGGCCCAGACUCCUACGGGAGGCAGCAGUGGGGAAUAUUGCACAAUGGGCGAAAGCCUGAUGCAGCGACGCCGCGUGAGGGAUGACGGCCUUCGGGUUGUAAACCUCUUUCAGCAGGGAAGAAGCGAAAGUGACGGUACCUGCAGAAGAAGCGCCGGCUAACUACGUGCCAGCAGCCGCGGUAAUACGUAGGGCGCAAGCGUUGUCCGGAAUUAUUGGGCGUAAAGAGCUCGUAGGCGGCUUGUCACGUCGGGUGUGAAAGCCCGGGGCUUAACCCCGGGUCUGCAUUCGAUACGGGCUAGCUAGAGUGUGGUAGGGGAGAUCGGAAUUCCUGGUGUAGCGGUGAAAUGCGCAGAUAUCAGGAGGAACACCGGUGGCGAAGGCGGAUCUCUGGGCCAUUACUGACGCUGAGGAGCGAAAGCGUGGGGAGCGAACAGGAUUAGAUACCCUGGUAGUCCACGCCGUAAACGGUGGGAACUAGGUGUUGGCGACAUUCCACGUCGUCGGUGCCGCAGCUAACGCAUUAAGUUCCCCGCCUGGGGGAGUACGGCGCAAGGCUAAACUCAAGGAAUUGA
Molecule: ribosomal RNA, 818 nt
Filed under: Streptomyces canus
Lineage: Bacteria; Bacillati; Actinomycetota; Actinomycetes; Kitasatosporales; Streptomycetaceae
Description: bacterial SSU rRNA
Rfam family: Bacterial small subunit ribosomal RNA
Source: RNAcentral